UAUUUGGGUUUAUUGCUCAACGAUAUUUAAAUAAAAGGUCUUAUAUUUUUAUUUAAACGCAUUAUUUUGUUCGUGUGCAUUGUCAUUUUAUUUGUGCUCUUAAUGUCAUGCACUGCACUUGUUAUUUAUUCUUUCGCUUGAACAGAUUCAUCAGUAUAUGACUUGGAUGUGGGAUGCUAGAAAUGCUCGUAAUUCACUUUGAUUUAUCUCAGAAACUCAUAAUUUUUACAUUGAAGAUAAUGAAAAACGACCAUGGAA
Molecule: long non-coding RNA, 258 nt
Filed under: Arachis ipaensis
Lineage: Eukaryota; Viridiplantae; Streptophyta; Magnoliopsida; Fabales; Fabaceae
Description: long non-coding RNA (AIPA_LNC000707)
Source: RNAcentral